Molecule: ribosomal RNA, 323 nt
Filed under: uncultured bacterium
Lineage: Bacteria
Description: bacterial SSU rRNA
Rfam family: Bacterial small subunit ribosomal RNA
Source: RNAcentral
CGGGGAAACUCGAAUUAAUACCGCAUACGACCUACGGGUGAAAGGGGGCGCAAGCUCUUGCUAUUAGAUGAGCCUAAAUCAGAUUAGCUAGUUGGUGGGGUAAAGGCCCACCAAGGCGACGAUCUGUAACUGGUCUGAGAGGAUGAUCAGUCACACCGGAACUGAGACACGGUCCGGACUCCUACGGGAUGCAACAGUGGGGAAUAUUGGACAAUGGGGGCAACCCUGAUCCAGCCAUGCCGCGUGUGUGAAGAAGGCCUUUUGGUUGUAAAGCACUUUAAGCAGGGAGGAGAGGCUAAUGGUUAAUACCCAUUAGAUUAGAC